Molecule: transfer RNA, 57 nt
Filed under: Youtuus strigatus
Lineage: Eukaryota; Metazoa; Arthropoda; Insecta; Hemiptera; Caliscelidae
Description: tRNA-Cys
Source: RNAcentral
GGCCUUAUAUUAAAAUUUUGGGUUGCAAAUCUAAAAAUGCUUUAUAAGCUAAGGCUU